CAAGUACUCCCUCCGUCCGAAAAUACUUGUCAUCAAAAUGGAUAAAAAAGAUGUAUCUAGAACUAAUAUACAUCUAGAUACAUCCCCUUUUAUUCAUUUUGAUGACAAGUAUUUCUGGACGGCGGGAGUACUAC
Triticum aestivum (bread wheat) is the source of this 134-nucleotide non-coding RNA. The record is from Rfam. NCBI's taxonomy places the organism in Eukaryota, Viridiplantae, Streptophyta, Magnoliopsida, Poales, Poaceae.